Molecule: ribosomal RNA, 370 nt
Filed under: uncultured organism
Description: bacterial SSU rRNA
Rfam family: Bacterial small subunit ribosomal RNA
Source: RNAcentral
CGUAGGGUGCAAGCGUUAAUCGGAAUUACUGGGCGUAAAGCGUGCGCAGGCGGCUUUGCAAGACAGAUGUGAAAUCCCCGGGCUUAACCUGGGAACUGCAUUUGUGACUGCAUGGCUGGAGUGCGGCAGAGGGGGAUGGAAUUCCGCGUGUAGCAGUGAAAUGCGUGGAUAUGCGGAGGAACACCGAUGGCGAAGGCAAUCCCCUGGGCCUGCACUGACGCUCAUGCACGAAAGCGUGGGGAGCAAACAGGAUUAGAUACCCUGGUAGUCCACGCCCUAAACGAUGUCAACUGGUUGUUGGACGGCUUGCUGUUCAGUAACGAAGCUAACGCGUGAAGUUGACCGCCUGGGGAGUACGGCCGCAAGGUUG